Molecule: ribosomal RNA, 253 nt
Filed under: uncultured bacterium
Lineage: Bacteria
Description: partial 16S ribosomal RNA
Rfam family: Bacterial small subunit ribosomal RNA
Source: RNAcentral
UACGUAGGGACCAAGCGUUGUUCGGAUUUACUGGGCGUAAAGGGCGCGUAGGCGGCAUAUUAAGUCAGCUGUGAAAUCUCCGAGCUUAACUCGGAACUGUCAGCUGAUACUGAUGUGCUAGAGUGCAGAAAGGGCAUUCAGAAUUCUUGGUGUAGCGGUGAAAUUCGUAGAUAUUAGGAAGAACACCAGUGGCGAAGGCGGCUCACUGGCCCGGAACUGACGCUGAUGUACGAAAGCGUGGGGAGCAAACAGG